CCUACGGGAGGCAGCAGUGGGGAAUAUUGCACAAUGGGCGAAAGCCUGAUGCAGCAAAGUCGCGUGAGCGAUGAAGGCCUUCGGGUCGGAAAGCUCUGUCCUCAAGGGAGCUAAUGACGGUACUUUAGGAGGAAGCCCCGGCUAACUACGUGCCAGCAGCCGCGGUAAUAGGUAGGGGGCGAGCGUUAUCAGGAUUUACUGGGCGUAAAGGGUGCGUAGGGGGGUUCUUAAGUCAGAGGUGAAAGGCUAAGGCUCAACCGUAGUAAGCCGUUGAAACUGGGGAACUUGAGUGCAGGAGAGGAGAGUGGAAUUCCUAGUGUAGCGGUGAAAUGCGUAGAUAUUAGGCGGAACCCCAGUUGCGAAGGCGGCGCUCUGGACUGUAACUGACACUGAGGCACGAAAGCGUGGGGAGCAAACAGGAUUAGAUACCCGAGUAGUC
RNAcentral lists this ribosomal RNA (439 nucleotides) under uncultured bacterium. RNAcentral describes it as "partial 16S ribosomal RNA". It matches the Rfam family "Bacterial small subunit ribosomal RNA", at positions 338 to 795 of the family's 1533-position model. The record is from RNAcentral.